Molecule: ribosomal RNA, 252 nt
Filed under: uncultured bacterium
Lineage: Bacteria
Description: partial 16S ribosomal RNA
Rfam family: Bacterial small subunit ribosomal RNA
Source: RNAcentral
UACGUAGGGGGCUAGCGUUAUCCGGAAUUACUGGGCGUAAAGGGUGCGUAGGUGGUCUCUUAAGUCAGAGGUGAAAGGCUACGGCUCAACCGUAGUAAGCCUUUGAAACUGGGAAACUUGAGUGCAGGAGAGGAGAGUGGAAUUCCUAGUGUAGCGGUGAAAUGCGUAGAUAUUAGGAGGAACACCAGUUGCGAAGGCGGCUCUCUGGACUGUAACUGACACUGAGGCACGAAAGCGUGGGGAGCAAACAGG